This 107-nucleotide small nucleolar RNA is filed under the name Olea europaea subsp. europaea. RNAcentral's name for it is "Plant small nucleolar RNA R71". It matches the Rfam family "Plant small nucleolar RNA R71". From Rfam's summary of the family: R71 is a member of the C/D box family of snoRNAs containing the C (UGAUGA) and D (CUGA) box motifs. Multiple nearly identical copies of this snoRNA have been identified in Arabidopsis, and it is thought to function as a 2'-O-ribose methylation guide for 18S ribosomal RNA. The record is from Rfam by way of RNAcentral. Lineage: Eukaryota; Viridiplantae; Streptophyta; Magnoliopsida; Lamiales; Oleaceae.
AAUCCAUGUUGUGGACAUUGAUAGAGUAAACAUUUAUAUCGUUCCCAAGCCUCUGAAUAGAAUUCUGAGUCUAGUUGUUGGAAAGCAGUAAUCUCAUCCCUUAACUU